This 60-nucleotide microRNA precursor is filed under the name Branchiostoma lanceolatum (amphioxus). RNAcentral describes it as "Bla-Mir-4888_pre stem-loop". Lineage: Eukaryota; Metazoa; Chordata; Leptocardii; Amphioxiformes; Branchiostomatidae. The record is from RNAcentral.
UGCAGAGCUUGUGCGAUUGGCGCUUGACAAGUGAAGGGCGCCACACUCGAGCUCUCCAUC